GUCAAUGGAAAAACUGGAAAUCUUG
RNAcentral lists this non-coding RNA (25 nucleotides) under Cricetulus griseus (Chinese hamster). Lineage: Eukaryota; Metazoa; Chordata; Mammalia; Rodentia; Cricetidae. The record is from RNAcentral. RNAcentral also lists the same sequence under 1 other name.